UGGCUUGUUUUUGUUCCAAAUCUCAAGUGGCUGCGAAUAUUUGAUUGUGAUGACAUGGAAGAAAUAAUCAGUGUUGAAAAUUUUGAAAAAUUGAGUGAAGUUUCAGAGAUGAUGGGAGAGCUUAACUUGUUCUCGGAACUCGAAUCUCUGAAUCUAGGAUAUGCAAGUAAUUUGAAGCGCAUCUACCGCGAUCCCUUGCCCUUUCCACAGCUGGAGCAAAUUUACAUAUCGAAAUGCCCAAAGUUGAAGAAGCUCCCGCUCAAUUCCAGCAGCGCAAAGGGACGUAAAAUUGUCAUUUACGGGGAGAAAGAAUGGUGGGAAGAGCUACAAUGGGAGGAUCAAGCCACUCAAAGUGCUUUCUCUCCCUGUUUGGCUGUUUCGUGCCUUCAUGAAUAAUAAAGUGCAAUAAGGCGCAAAAGUGUGAAUAAAGUUUCUGCGUGUGCUUAAUGAUUAUCUUGUCUAUCCAUUUCAUUUAAUUUAAAAGCUUUCUACGGUGUUGCGUGUGUGUCACUUGUCAUUCUUCUGCACUGCUGUUUCCUAUUUCCAGUUAAUAAAAUUUUUUUGUUCUUAGAAAUGCUUUGCUGGUAAUAUAUUCUAUUUACUUUCCUCCUAUUUUCAUUACAGCUAAUAAUUGCAUAGUUGUAUAAUUUUUUAAUAUUAUCUUUAUUUUUAAAUAUACUUUUAUUUAUAUUUAUUAUAAAUUAAAUAAAUGUAUGAAUAGAAAUUAAAAUGAAAACUAAGUAUUAAAACAAGAAAUAUAUAUUUUGAUUUGAAUAAAAAUAUAAAUAUUUGUUUGUACUUUUUUAUAUAUAUAUUCAAUAUAAGAAAAUAUUUAUAAAAUAAAAAGUGUAAGAAAAAUAUCUUAUUAUUAAUUCUUAUUCACAUCAAAACAUAUAUUUCUUACUUUAAAUACUUAAUUUUUUAUUCAAAUUAUCAUUCAUAUGAUUUAUUUAAUUUAUAAUACAUAUAAAUAAAAAUAAUAUUGUAAAUUAUGUUGUUAGAAAUUAUUAGUUAUUAUAAAAAUAAUAUGGGACAAAUGGUAAAUCGGAGAUAUUGUUUCCUAUUUUCAGCUAAAAAAUUUAUUUGUUCUAAUAAUUGCUUUGCUAGUAAUAAGGCCUGCAAGUUGCUUAACUGAAUAUGACUUCUUUUUUAAAAAUGUUACUAUCAAUUUCGAUGAUUGAUUAUCUCGAAGUAGUGAAAUUUAUGUAAUGUUGGUAUUAAAAAAAUUUGUGCUACUGAUAAAAAAAGUCCAUUGGAUUCGGCCUAAAUGACGGAUCGUGGCUUGAUUUUCUCAUCCCAAAGGCUCUGUAUCUCACUUUCGAAAGUAGUUUUAGCAUAAUGUAGGUGAAAAAUUAAAAUAUUCUGCGAUCUCUAUAUAGCUUUUCCAACAGAUUUCACCCAUUUGACUGUAGACCAAAGCAUCCAUUGGAUCGAUGCAUUUAUUAAGAAGAGGAUCAUUCGGAGCUACAAUUGGAGGAUCGAGUCACGCAAAGAGUUUUCUCUACUUGUUUCGAUCCUAUGGAGAUAGAGUUUUCAUAGAUUGAUGGUAGGAGCUUUUUUGUCAAUUUAUGUAUCUAAUUGUGUGUAACAUGCUUUCUUGUCUUUCAUAUCAGACAUUGUAAAUUUGUAAUGUUGCCAUUUUCUUUUUCCUAUCAAGAAAGAAAGAGCAUUGCGAGUAGUCUUUCCAAUUUUCACUCCUUUUUGGUAUGUGAAGAAAAAUAAUAAAGCAAAACAAACUAGUGUUGAAGAAAAAGAAAAUGACAAGUUCAAUAGGGCAAAAGUUCACCAUCCCUUUACCAUUUGCUCAAGCAAGUAAGCUUUACGUUUACUUCUUGAGAUUUGAACUAACCAGACAACUUGUAAUGUUACCAUAAAGUUCAAAGAUUAGAAGAGAAAAACUUAUGUCUGUUAGGCACUAUUAUUCAGGCUUAAAUAAUAACAAUAAAAUACUACACCAUGUCUGCUCUCUUUUACUUUUCUUGGUUCUGUUGUAAAAUUCAGUUCUAUUUGAAGGAAAUUAUUAACAUCAAAACUAAAUACUUCGUGAGCAUCUACUGACAACAUACUCCAGAUGACACCAUAACCAUAUCAUAUAAAGCAAGAAAUGUGAAAUAAAUACAAAAUGAAUCAUAGGAGGGAAUUACCACACUCUGCGGUCUCUCCUGCUAAACCCUGCAGUUAGAAUGCCAUUUGUCGUGAGCACCUGAAUCCCCAAAGGACUCCCAGCUUCAAGUGGCUUUGACUUAGCUUGCUUUAGCUCCAUUGCACAUACUCACUCACAUGAAGGAAAUGAACAGAACAAGAAACCUCAUCAUGCCGAAUAUGAUAGAUAUGACAAGGCAUUACACUGUAGGAAGCUCCCGAUUUCUCUACAAAACUCUGCAGGUUCUCCACAAUCAAGGCGUGCUCCAUCUUUAACAGAUCACUUCUACCAUUAAGAGAAGGAAGAGAGUUCCUCUCGUGUGGCAGUAAAUCCUUACUUAACACAGGAUUGAAGCCAACCAAGAACGGAAGGCAAUUUCGUUAGAUUAAGAACCGAAUCACCAUCCAAUAUAGUAGCAUUUGAACCAGAACUCUUGUUAAAUUCUUGAAAUCUCCUGCUUUCAUCAGUCUGUAAGAGAAAUGAAGAUGAGAAUAAUAGCCAGAACCGGAUUAAAUUCAAUCUGGUCUUUUGAAGACUUCUAUAACAACUAAGAGAACCCAGUGUACCGCCUACAGAUACUGUCAGGCUUCUAUCAAAUAUCCCAAACACCAAAAACCAACCCAAUUAAGCUAACAAACCUGCAUGAAUAUCUAAAUUUCAAUGCACGUGAAACAAACUCCGUGUUCAAUCCACCAAAACUAGCAAAUUUCAAACUUUAUCACUCAUCAUUCUCUCUCUGUCAGCUGUAUGAGGCUAUGAGAUCAUGUUAUAAUGUUCAUAUUGAUGCUGAAUGUUUUGCCAGCUUGUCUGAAUUCCAUAAGAGAAUGCAAUGUGCACAUUAUUGUGCCUUGCCCACCAUUAGAUUCUAAACCACAAAAUCAUUGUGUGAAGUAGCUGACGUUUCGCACAUUCUUAUCCCUUAUCAUCAAUAUUCUUCUCCUCAAGCUUAGAUCAUGGAAAUUUGAGUGACAAACAUGAUAACAUGGUAACACCAUCUAAACUUUAGGGGCAUAAAGUAACAUAGAAGCAACAUGGGAUGUUUUAAAAUCUAUUAUAAUUUGCUUAGGCCCCUGAAUAAAAUUAAAACUUGUAAUGAAAUAAAGUAGCAAAAUAAAGAUUGGAGGUCGCAUGCUUGAUAUUUGAUGCUGUCAAAAUUAAUUUGCAGUGCUGAAAUUGCUGCUCCAAUAAAUUUUUCAAUGGGAUUUCUAUAUUUACAACAAAUUUUCAGUAUUGAAACAGGAUUAAAAUCAUAAAGUAUCUUUUAAACAGCAGAGGCAACAAGAUCCUACAGAAAAAGAAGGCAAAAAGUAGUUACAAGCUACAGAAACGCAAAUAUUCUACUGGCCAACUCCCACUAAAUUCGAAGCAAUUCUAAAAUCUCAGCUUGUACUACGACAUCAUUCCUUCUAUGUGGCCCAACUGUACUUCACCCAGAAAUCACAUUUCUUCAUCAGAGAUAAUUUUACUUCUAAUAAGAGAGAAUUUUUUAUAUGCAUGGCUUUACAGUAAUGAAUAAUUUUCCUUAAAUCUUUUCUAACAGACAAGAAAGCACAAAGCACAAAAAUUGAUAUAAACAACUUUUCUCGAAGCUUUUUCAUAAGAAAACCUGAACAUGAUUGCUUCUCUUAGAAGGCCCCCUAGCUUCCUGCAAGAACCUUGUGCCCCCAAAAAAAACAAAGGAUUAUAAUUAGGCAUAAGGCUCCCAAUGUUCUUGCAGGAAUUAUGAUGAAUAUGAGAGUUUCAAAAAAGAAAAAAAAAUAUUACGACAACCUCUAGGCGGAGGAAAUCAGUUUUCUAGGAAUUCGUUAGAUUGGUGAAGUUAUAGAACCGCAGCAAUUUGCUGUAGUUUGGAAUGUUUUUGCCUUUCAUUAUAGCAUUUGAAAAGGCUCAAGGAUAUAGAAGAACCUUGGCUACAAAUUCAGGGAAGAUUUCACUUAUAAUGAGAAAUAAUCACCAUUAUUAUAUACAAUGAGAAAACAGUUAUGGAAGAAAUAGAAAGAAUUACCCGAAACGGAGGAUUUGGAAGACAAUGAGACAAAAGUAUAAAGAAGAAGAAAUUGGAGAUAUAAUGACUGCCUAUUUCUUUGAUGAACCCAUCAAAAACGGCUUGAAAAUUAAAGAAAUUGUAAAAUGCUGUAACGGAGGAAUUGAAACUGUAAAAGAUGCAAGUUAAUUCAUGGGGCUGGCCAUCUUGAUUGAUUGAACACCUAUUAGAUUUUUAAUAUUAAAGAACUCACUUUAAUGAUGUUUAAUUGGUAGUAGCCCUUUAUAGUCUUUAAACCUUUAGCAGUGCAAAGUCACAAGCUUUGUCCAGAAUCUAAGGGCGUAAGUUAUAGGCGAUGGGUGCCAUCACCUGGGCAACGACGUACAUCGCUUGGGCGACAAGCCAAUUUACUAGGCUCAUCGCAAACAGCCUUCGUCGCCUGGGCGAUGGCCAAAUCCAUCCAAUAAACUUUCAGCUCAUGUUUGAUAGUCUAAAAAAAGUAGUUAUGGUGGCCAUCACACAUCACAUUUUACUGACAAGCUGUCUUAAUUUUCAUAGAAAAUUGUUCCUACUGAUUUUCCAAUACUGGCCUAAUACUUGCAGAUUAUUAAACGAUUAUGGAAUGGCGGCGAUUUUAGACCAGUAAUUUUGUCAAUAAUUGCUAAUUCGCAAUCCCUUUACAAAUCUAAUAAUCUACUGCAUACACGCUCUUGAUGACUUGGAUUCUCAAAAAAUAACCAUUUUACGCCGCUGAAGCGCAGAAAAAUCAAUUGUUUUAUCCACUUCCAAAUAAAACUUAUUCUAGUAAAUGCGAUAAAGAAAUGUUUAUUUCAAUUUCCAACCCAGAUCUCAUAAAGAAUUUCUCACUCAAAUAAACAAAUAAAUAUCAUCUGGUAAUGGUAUGACAUUUAUUUUGAAGUAAACACUGGCCCACUAUUUUCUCAAUUUUCCAUUGUUUGAGGACACCAUUUUCUCAAUUGAAGAACAUGUUCUGGCCAAAAUUCACAAUUUUCUCCACGUGAUUUAAAGCACACAGGAUUCACACUUUUCUCCACGUGAUUUAAAAGCACACAGAAUUCUCCUGACCUUAAUUACGGAUCUUAUUAUGUUUAUUGAAAUCCAAUAUUGUAGACUCAUUGUUGUAGCUAGAAAAUCAUAUUAAUAGAGUAAAAUUUAUAAAUAAUCAAAGAAAAGAGUUCACGCUCUUACUUCAUUACUUUUAUAAUCUUAUUAGUAUAUCUACUUACAUGUCUUCAGAAAAUACAGUUUUAAGAGGAUAUUUUUAUUUUUCUUCGUAAUAAUAGAUUUAAUUUUCAUCUUUCUAAUGUUAAGUUGCAUAUUUGGAGUAAAUAAUAUUAAAUUUCAAAUUAGAUCACAGACCCCAUUUUAAUAGAUUCAAUUGGAUUUUGGACAUCUAAUUAAACAACUGGACUAAUAAAUUGCAAAUGAAUGAGAUUUAUAUGUGAUUUUAAAAUAAAAUUUGAACUCAAAUCUAUGUAUUUAAUUAAUCCAACAGGACAAAUUUAUAAUUUUCACCAACUAAAUAAAAUAUGUUAUCAGAAACUUUUGGACCAAGUCGCGCACUUCGUGGGUCUGCUACUACUUAUAGUCCAUUCUCAUUCAACUUUCACAUCUUUUAUAUUAUGUACAAAUUGGAUUAUAUUCUAAAACAGUGUUUCUAAUUGUUUAACGUUUUAUUUCUGGGUAUAUUUAGAGAUUAAAAAAUAUGGGAAACAUAAUUAAUUUUAUCAAAUAAAAAGGAGUAUUGUUCAUUUUUUCAUAAACAAUGUGUUAAAAUACUUUUGGUAUUUAAGAAGUAAAAAUUUUUAUUUUUGUUUCAUAAAAAAGCAUUCAAAAUUAUAUUAAAUAAAAUUAAAGAUUAACAAAACUGACAUCUGAAUUUCGUGCAAAUUAUAAUAAGUUUAUCUCCAGCGUGAGUAACAUUAAAGCUUGGCUAGCAUCAUCAUAUUUUAUCUCCAGCAUCAAAAUUCUGAUAACAUCAACAUCAUAAUUCCAAGGUUGUCAAAACUAAUUAUCAAAUUAAAAUCCUUUGUGAUUUAAGCUCUCUUGGACUUUUAAAAAUGUUAUGCCACCCCUUCUUUAAUAAUAGUAGUAUAUGAUUAUGAUUUAAUUAUUUUAUUUUUUUAAUUUAUCAAACACCAAUCACUUAAAUUAAACUCAAGAAAAAAAUUAGAACAUCAAAGAAUUUUAAUUGCUUCUUAUUAAGUACUAGAAUUAACUUCUCCCAAUGAUAAUUUAUUAAGCAAACCAUAAUGAUCAUCUUACACUAAAGAACCAACCCAUCUUCAAAACACAAGAAUUUAGUACAAAUAAUUAUCCCAAUAAAGUUUAACGAAAAAGAAAAGAGAUAUUUUUAUUAUUUCUUUUACUUUCUUAGUGGCUCUGCUACUACCUAUAGUCCAUUCUUAUUCAACAUACAGAUCUUUUAUAUUAUAUGCAAAUUAAAAUAUAUUCUAAAAAGUGUAUCCAACUGGUUAACAUAUUAUUUCUAUAUAAUAAUCAAUUUUAUCAAAUAAAAAGGAGUUUUGGUCAUUCAUUUGGCUCCGUUGCCACUGUUGUACGCUACAAAAGCUUUUGUCUUUGCUGACUCAGUUACUGUAAAAUGUCGUUCAGCCCCUUAUACUCUAUUUUAUUUAUAAGAAUUAUAAAAAUUUCUAAUUACCUACACUUUCAAAAUUCAAUUUAUCUCCUUACAAUCUUUUUCAUUUACUUUUUUUUGUAAGUAUUAAAAAGUUUCUAUUUACAACCACGACAUAGUAAUCAUCAUAACACACGAAUAUUUAUAAAAAUAUAAAAAUAUCACUAAAUUAAUACUAAAAAAUGUUUUCCUCUCUUGAGGAAUUAUGGUAUCUCAUUUUCGAUCACUCAUUAUCAACAAAAUUUUCAAAGAUAUGAUCAUUCAUCUUCUUUAUAAUAUCAUCUUAUAAUAAUUAAUACUUUCAUGAUUAAAAAAAUUAACAAAAUAAAGAUAAAUUCCCUUUGAAUCCAUCCCUCUCUACUAUCAUUUUCUCUUCAUUAGCAACAUUUAUCAAUAAUUGAAGCCACCAUCAGACUCAUCACACAGAGAGAGUGAGAGAGGGGAAGAAGAAACGGGAAAAAAAAAUAUAUGAGACAUUUACAAUUUUAUAGUGUGUUUAUUCAACGAGAUUCAUAUAUAGUUGCUAAGGGGUUUCAUUAGACACAGAGAGUUUAUUACACUGAAACUUUUAAUCCAGUAGUUAAGGCCUCAACAAUCAGAGUUAUUCUUAGCCUAGCAGUACUUAACAAGUGGAUAAUCAGACAAGUGGAUAUUAAUAAUGCCUUAAUGGCAUUUCAGUUGAAGAAGUUUACAUGGCACAACCUGAGGGAUUUGUGGAUCCUACUAAACCCCAACACAUCUGCAAAUUAAAAAGGACUAUAUAUGGCUUGAAGCAAGCUCUCAGGGCUUGGUUUGAUAGAUUCAAAGCUGCAAUGAUUACUCAAUGACAUUUUCAACACUCAAAAUCAGAUAAAAAAUAUCAAAAUAUUUAUAUCAUUAAACUUUUAGGCCUAAUUAACUAAUUAAAGUUCUAAAUUUUUAUUUAGGACAUUAAAAAGACCGGAUAGAUUCUAUUAGCCCAAAAAUUUUAUUUUAAUUUUAAUAUUCAUUAAAUAUUUUAAACUUAAAUCUAUUUUUUAUUUAUUUUUAGAUGUUAGAAUUGCCCACAGCGAAUCACAAUUUUAAUAUCUAAUCUAAUUUAAUCUAAUAUUUGCUCUUGAUUUGCUCUUACUUAACUAUUGUGUUGUAAAGGGAAUAGUCCACAUUUAUAAAGUGCCCACGCCACCCUUGAAAAAGUUAAUUUUGAAUCUAAAUUUGAUUUUAUUUGUAACAAUUUUGUAUUAGACUAUUAAUUUAUUUAUGAUAGUUUGUAAAAGAAGUUUGUAUCCCUUGCAUGCUGCGUUACUUACUAAUUUAAUGUAUGUGACUUUUGUAAUGGAUAUUAAUGCAAGAUAUUUUUCGAACUUUACUUUUAUUUAAAUUUUAUUUUAAUAUGAUUAACUCAAAUCGAAAAUAAAAAAAUGUAUUAAUUAUUCGGGGAUCGGGGACCCUCGGGGAUCCCCUAUUAUUAUUCGGGGAGGAGAUAGAGAUUCUCUUAAGUAAUUCUGACAGGGACGGGAAGGGGAUGAGGACAUACACAAAAUAUUGGGAAUGGUUACGGGGAGAUUGGUCCCCUCCCCUCCCCUCCCCAUUGCCAUCCCUAACUCCCUGACUAAAUAAUUUGGGAAUAUAAGGAUGCAAUAAGAGUUGAGUGGUCUUUAUUCCCAUAGCAUUAUUUUUUUCUCGCUUCAUCCGUGCUCUAUUCAAUCUUUAUGUGCCGCUUGUGUUAUGUUCCUGCAUAUCUAAUUACCUUUAGCUGCUUGUGUUAUGUUUACUUGUUUUGAUCUUAAUCUUUAAUCACUUAGCCUGAAUAAGAAAUAAUUUUUUAUAUUUGCUCUGCAAUGAUGUUAUUCGGUGUUAAUAGCUUCGUUUUGUUACUCUUUUCCGCACAGAUUCUUGAUCUCAACAGAACUUUUAUUUUGAAUAUUCUGCAUAAGGACAAUCUCAUUUAAUACCAUCAGUGAUUUUUCAUUUUUUUUCUCUUUAGUUUUAAUAUGUUUGAUAACUGUAUGGCUAAGCAAUCUAUGCAAUUUUAUCUUGUCGUAUGUUUGAGCUCAUUUUUUGUUGCAAUUCUGAAUAUUUGGUAUGAAUUAUGUGAUACCGGACAAUACUGUUAACUUGUUCAUUUCUUAAUUUUAAUAUCUUGUCAAAGUCACUAAUAGCAUUUCAUCAUGCUAUGAGUUAAACAUGGAACAAAUGACGACAUGCAGUUGUGGAAUGUGGUAGAUCUCUGGAAUUCUAUGUCCUUAUGCUUGUAGGGCAACACAAUACAUUAGUUAAAACAUUAAAGACUAUGAUGUCCGCAGAAAAUUAUAUGUCAACAUAUGCACCAGGCAUGAUGAAAUUAGCCAAAGACAGUGCUUGGAAACAAUUAACUAACUUUUGGCAUUAGGCGUAUCAAGUUCAAUUCGGUAUUUCACAAAACUUAAACUAACUUAUUCCUAAUUAUAGUGGACACAAUUAACUAACUUUGGCAACUGUUCUGAAGAGGAUGACUUCUUCAGGAUGACAUCAACUACCAGCGAUGAUACUAUCAGUAAGCUGCUUCUGCUAUCUAUUAAAUAUUACUGCUAAACGUAAUAUUGACAAUUUGUCUGUGUGCAGGCCUGUGAUAACCACUUGGAUCGGAUAAAGGACUGGGACAUCAACAAUUUGCCCAGAAACCAAUAAGAUAUCAUUGUAAUGUUUAAUUAUACAUGUAUUAGUUUCUCUUUGGAUGGUGCUCUUUGUUAUGCAAAAGUAUGGCGACUAUGUUUCAACCAGUGUAUCUAUUAUAUACACUAACUAUGAAUUACUAGAAAUUUUAUUACAUUAAUCAUUUUUAGAUAGCCACUCAUCUCAAACGAAACAAACUGGUCAGAGACACUUGACCCAACAUGCUUGUGAUCGACCUUAGAAUAAAUUUUUCUCACUCAAUAUAGACAACUUCUGUGAGGUUAAUAUUUCUUCAAAUGUCAAGAAAAGCAUUGGCCACAUAAAUGCAUACACAUGUUUUUGUUGGGAAGUUAAGCAGACGGGAACAACAUUGGACUAUAUACUCAUACACCAAACUUUAAUAAACUAAUAAAUAUAAUUUAAUAAUAAUUUAUUUCUCCUCGCUUAUGUGAGAAAAAGUCAAACCACAUAACGUAUUUAUAUUUUGUUAAGAAAUUUUACUGAUUGAACUAAUUAACACUAAUUUCUUAUCUCUCUUAACCAACGGAUAUUUUGAAGAUAGUUUUUUAUUUUCUAUAUUUUAUGUACUAAAUGAUUUUAAACCUCUAUCACGUCAUGAAUAAAUUGGAGUUUAGGUUGCUUAAAAUAAUAAUAAUAAUAAUAAUAAUAAUAAUAAUAAUAAUAAUUAAUAAAUGUAUUGAUGGAUUUCAUAAUCAUCCCACUUAGGGGUGGGCACGGUUCGGUUCGGUUCGAAAUUAAGUAGAACCGAUUUAAAUCGGUUAUUUUAUAAAAAGAACCGAAUAAGAACCAAACUCAAUAAGAACCAAACUCAAUAAGAACCGAACUCAAACGGUUCUUUUCGGAUCGGUUCGGUUCGGUUCGGUUUUUUCGGUUCUGGGUCUAUUGGGCCUAUUUUGAAUUUUUAAAUUUUUAGCCCAUUGGGCCUCAUAAAUGUAAUAAUUUUUUUCAACAAUUAAUUUAUCCUAAUUUUAUUACAAAUAUUAACAAUAAAUACAAAGUAUUCAAAACACAUUUUAUCACUAAUAUCUUACUAAUUAUUAAUAAGAUACUCCCAAAAUAUGAAAUAUUAAAAUUUCAAAAUACAUAACCAAACUCCAAUACUCCAUCUAUAUAAACAUAAUCAUAAUGUUAUAAAGAGAAAUAACACAUGUUUGAUUUGAAUAAAAUCAUGUUUGAUUUGAAUAAAAUUAUUAACACAUGUUUGAUUUGAAUAAAAUAAAAAAAUAAUUCGGUUCUUCGGUUCGGUUUUUUGGUUCAGCUAAGUGAACCGAAUACCGAACCGACAUUUCAGUUUUUUUUACAAACGGUAUAUUCGGUUUUUUUAAAAAAUAAAAACCGAACCGAAUUAAAAAAAACCGUCGGUUCGGUUUUUUUUAACAUUACGGUUUUUUUGCCCACCCCUAAUCUCACUCCUACGCCUCAAGACAAACAAGCUCACACUUCACGGAUCAGUCAAAGGAUCGGCUUUCAAGUCGUUGAAUUCACGGUGGUCAAACUAACGGAAAAACUAACGUGACGUCAAUCAGAUACGGUUUAUAAUAUAUGUAUCCUCAAUCAACGCAAAAAGUUUGAUCUGAAAAACCCUCUGCCUAAAACGCGUUUUCAGAAACGCGGUUUUGUUUUUCAAGUGGUUCCCAGAGCAUCCAUGCCAUGCUCUGUAUCAAUCAUUUCGUGCAUGUUUGGAGUUUGGCACGGCCAUUUUUACUGACUUUGUUAAGAAGUACUUAGAAGCUCAUUAGGAAAUGAUAACAAACGAAGCCUUGCGCUUUUACAUGUUACAUGCAUUAUUGGUAAGACGGUUGAUGAGUUACGUUAUAUGAACCCACAAUUAGUCGCCCAAUAGCCACCAUAUAUUAAAUAAUCAGUCAAAUUUUGAAUUGGGUAGUUAACUAAUUUCGAAUUACCGUAAGUCAUAAAUAAUGCAGGUUAGUAAGACCCGAGCCUAGGCAAAUUAAGGUCGUUAUCGCCUCUAAAUCAAGGCUGCAUAACCCAAAGUUAAGGGCACAUGUUCGAGUCCCAACUCCACAGUGUUGGAACUCUAUUAUAGUAUUAUUCCCUUUCACAUUAAAAGGAUAGGAUGGUUAUUUCUCUUACAUAUGUAGAUAGAUCAAAUAUAUCUUCUAAAUAAUAAUAGAUUUAUCAUUUUAAAGAGUUGUUUUAGAUAUGUGGAUAGAUCAAAUAAUAGACACCCUUUCCAUGAAAGGAGACUCAUUGAUUAUUGUUAAAAAAAAAAUUCGUUGAUGUUAUUAGAGAACUUGCAAUUUUUUUAUAACACUAAAUUUUUUAAUUUUUUAAGAUUUUUCUAUGAAUAGCAUGAAUUUUUUAUAGCAUUGGUAAUGAGGAUAUUAUGGACCUUUAGAUUUAAAUAUUUUAAUCUUCGCCAUUCAUUCAAUUUAGUGGAUAAAUAACUAAUUACUUAAUUUUUCAAGUUGCAUGUAGUAUAUAAGUUUAUGUAUGUAAUUCUAUUUUUAAUAAAUAAAUAAAUAAAUUUUAAAUCACUAACAAAAAAAAAUGCAAAUAUGUAUGUUAGUUUAGACGUGUACAUAAUAGAUAUGAAUUGAUAUUAUUUAAUUAUUGCACAAGACAUGCUAAUAAUGAUCUCUUUUGUCAAUAAUAAUCAGGAGAAUAAAAUGUUAAUUUCUUGAUUUUACUGGAUGGCUAAGAUCGAGUUAAGUCAAUUUUCGUUAUAUUUGUUAAUCUAAUAAUAUGUUGGCGAAAAAGAGGGAAUAUGAUUACAAACUAAGAUUGAGUUAAUUUUUUUAAUUCAGUCUUUAAAAAAUUGUACAACUGGUUUGAUAAUUGGUUAAUGAAAUUUUAAAUAACUAAAAUCAAGAUAUUAUUUUAACUAUAACUUCUAAUUUUGUACCAAACGUUGAUGAUCUUGAUGGGCGCAGAGGAUAGUUGGGUACGGUGCUGUAGUGGGCAACUAUGAGGAUAAAGUGAUGGUGACUGGAAUUGACAUAGGGGUAUACUUGGAUGAUGUUGAUUAUAGUGCGGCUGAGGCUUUAUGCUUUAGCUUAGAGUUGCUUAUCAAGAAUCUAUUAAUAACACAUUAUACUCAUACACCAAAGUUUAAUCUGAAUGAAUCAAGUAAUUCUAUGUUAAUAAAAGUUUUUAGACUUACGAUGAGGGUCUAGUUUAUAUAAAUGCAAAUAACACUGAAAUCUAAUAAUCCUUUACAAAUAAAUAUGAUUUAUUCAAUUAUCGCAAACAAUUGUUUUAUCAGAGUUAAUUACAUUAUUGCUAAACUUGUAUAAGCUUUCCUGUUUCAAGCAUAUCUACUUAAUUACAUUAUUCAUCGACAAUGUUACUUUGCUAGUAGAAGUUUUAUGUUUUCAUACCUUAAUCACUAUUUAACGCUUCGUUUUCCAAUAGUUCUAAUUCUUCAAAUUUUGGUUUUAUUCUUCCAUAAUUAUAAAUUGAUACUGAUUCGCACGACUCAAAUUAAAGUGGUUAAUUACUCUAAAAGUAUAAAUUUGGCAGUCAAUAAUUACUUAAAAAUAAUUGCAAAAAAAUUAAUAAGGAAUAGUAUAAAUUUAAAAACCGCUAAAGUUACGAGAUCCAUGCUUGAUAUUUAAAUCAUGGUCAUAAUACUCUUUCUCUCUCUCUCUCUCUCUCACACACACACACACAUAUAUAUAUAACCACUUUCAAUAUUAUGUUACUUAGUUCUUAAUUAACCGCUCUAUAAAUAAAUAUGAGAAUUAAGUACAUAUUAUGCUACAACCUUAUUGGAGUGUUCCCACUACCAUAUUAGUAGUCAACAUUAGGUCUAAACACCCACAUAAUAUUUUUGGUGAACUUGCAACCACAACCUUUAAAUUAGGGGUGGGCACGGUUCGGUUCGGUUCGAAAUUAAGUAGAACCGAUUUAAAUCGGUUAUUUUAUAAAAAGAACCGAAUAAGAACCAAACUCAAUAAGAACCGAACUCAAACGGUUCUUUUCGGAUCGGUUCGGUUCGGUUCGGUUUUUUCGGUUCUGGGUCUAUUGGGCCUAUUUUGAAUUUUUAAAUUUUUAGCCCAUUGGGCCUCAUAAAUGUAAUAAUUUUUUUCAACAAUUAAUUUAUCCUAAUUUUAUUACAAAUAUUAACAAUAAAUACAAAGUAUUCAAAACACAUUUUAUCACUAAUAUCUUACUAAUUAUUAAUAAGAUACUCCCAAAAUAUGAAAUAUUAAAAUUUCAAAAUACAUAACCAAACUCCAAUACUCCAUCUAUAUAAACAUAAUCAUAAUGUUAUAAAGAGAAAUAACACAUGUUUGAUUUGAAUAAAAUCAUGUUUGAUUUGAAUAAAAUUAUUAACACAUGUUUGAUUUGAAUAAAAUAAAAAAAUAAUUCGGUUCUUCGGUUCGGUUUUUUGGUUCAGCUAAGUGAACCGAAUACCGAACCGACAUUUCAGUUUUUUUUACAAACGGUAUAUUCGGUUUUUUUAAAAAAUAAAAACCGAACCGAAUUAAAAAAAACCGUCGGUUCGGUUUUUUUAACAUUACGGUUUUUUUGCCCACCCCUAAUCUCACUCCUACGCCUCAAGACAAACAAGCUCACACUUCACGGAUCAGUCAAAGGAUCGGCUUUCAAGUCGUUGAAUUCACGGUGGUCAAACUAACGGAAAAACUAACGUGACGUCAAUCAGAUACGGUUUAUAAUAUAUGUAUCCUCAAUCAACGCAAAAAGUUUGAUCUGAAAAACCCUCUGCCUAAAACGCGUUUUCAGAAACGCGGUUUUGUUUUUCAAGUGGUUCCCAGAGCAUCCAUGCCAUGCUCUGUAUCAAUCAUUUCGUGCAUGUUUGGAGUUUGGCACGGCCAUUUUUACUGACUUUGUUAAGAAGUACUUAGAAGCUCAUUAGGAAAUGAUAACAAACGAAGCCUUGCGCUUUUACAUGUUACAUGCAUUAUUGGUAAGACGGUUGAUGAGUUACGUUAUAUGAACCCACAAUUAGUCGCCCAAUAGCCACCAUAUAUUAAAUAAUCAGUCAAAUUUUGAAUUGGGUAGUUAACUAAUUUCGAAUUACCGUAAGUCAUAAAUAAUGCAGGUUAGUAAGACCCGAGCCUAGGCAAAUUAAGGUCGUUAUCGCCUCUAAAUCAAGGCUGCAUAACCCAAAGUUAAGGGCACAUGUUCGAGUCCCAACUCCACAGUGUUGGAACUCUAUUAUAGUAUUAUUCCCUUUCACAUUAAAAGGAUAGGAUGGUUAUUUCUCUUACAUAUGUAGAUAGAUCAAAUAUAUCUUCUAAAUAAUAAUAGAUUUAUCAUUUUAAAGAGUUGUUUUAGAUAUGUGGAUAGAUCAAAUAAUAGACACCCUUUCCAUGAAAGGAGACUCAUUGAUUAUUGUUAAAAAAAAAAUUCGUUGAUGUUAUUAGAGAACUUGCAAUUUUUUUAUAACACUAAAUUUUUUAAUUUUUUAAGAUUUUUCUAUGAAUAGCAUGAAUUUUUUAUAGCAUUGGUAAUGAGGAUAUUAUGGACCUUUAGAUUUAAAUAUUUUAAUCUUCGCCAUUCAUUCAAUUUAGUGGAUAAAUAACUAAUUACUUAAUUUUUCAAGUUGCAUGUAGUAUAUAAGUUUAUGUAUGUAAUUCUAUUUUUAAUAAUGACAAUUGAUUGUGUUAGCAUUUUGGUCAAAAAGGUGGACCCCCCCAAAAACAAACAAAAAAAAUUUAUGAUAAUAAUUAACAUUGAUAAAUAAAAAUAUUAAUAAUGGGUGUGUUAGCAUUUUGGUCCAAAGCCGAUUUGGCCUUGACAUUAAUUGGAAUUUUGGAUCUAUAAUAUGAUUUUCACCGAAAAGAUAAUUUUGCCGCUAAUUAUUUGGGUAGUCAGAUAAUAAUAACAAAAAAAUGUUAUCUCGAUCUCACCUAUAACUUGAGGAGAUAAUAAUGAUAGUCUUUCAUAAUACUCUACUGUUUAGUUUCUCUUCUUCAUUUUUUUCCCCUUUGAAGUCUUUCAACAAAAAUGGGUGGCAUCAUCUCAACCUUCUUCUCAGCGGACACAAUUCGUCCAAUUUUAUUUUACGUCGGUGGACGAGCAAAGUAUAUAUGGGGUCUUAAAGGUAAUCUCGAUGACUUGCAAACUGAAACGGAGAACUUGAUUGCGAAAAAACUAGAUCUACUGAAUAAGGUUAGGCUUGCCGAACAACAACAGCCUCGUGCCCAACGGACGAGCACGGUGAAACUCUGGUUCGAAAGGGUGGAUCGAAGUGUAACUCUUGUUGAGGGGCUGCAACAAGAAAGAGAUCAAGAGAUUGACAGAUUGUGUCUUGGAGGCUUCUGUUCCAAGGACUUGAUUUCAAGCUACGACUUCGGCAAAAAGGUGGAGAAGUUGAAGGAAGAAGUAAUCAAAUUGAGGGAAAAAGGAGAAGCAAUGAAAGAAGUUUAUGAGGGGUUACCAGAAGGUGCAGCGGUUGCAAUAGCUGUUGACCGAACAAUUGUUGGUCAAGAAUCAAUACUUGACCAAGUUUGGAGAUGCAUCACUGAUCAAAAAAAGAAUAAUGGAAUUAUUGGCUUAUAUGGUAUGGGGGGCAUCGGCAAAACUACUCUGUUAAAACAAGUCAAUAACAAAUUCUGCAGUGAGGAGCAUGAUUUUGAUGUCGUUAUCUGGUCGGUUGUAUCUAGAGAGCCAAACUUGAAGCAGAUUCAAGAGGAUAUUGGGAAAAGGAUAGGCUUCUCAACAGAUUCAUGGCAGAGAAAAAGGUUUGAAGAAAGGGCUUCAGACAUCACCAACACUUUAAAGCAUAAGAAGUUUGUAUUGUUAUUGGAUGAUAUAUGGGAGUCCGAAAUUGAUUUAACCAAAUUGGGCGUCCCUCUUCAGACACUAGAUUCUGGGUCCAGAAUAGUCUUCACAACUCGUUUUGAGGGUACUUGUGGUAAAAUGGGAGCCCAUAAGAAUCGGUACAAAGUGUUUUGUUUGGGAGAUGACGAUGCCUGGAAAUUAUUUGAGGGGGUGGUCGGGAGAUACGUUCUUAACAAGCAUCCCGACAUUCCGAAGUUAGCCGAGGAUGUGGCACGUCAGUGUCAUGGUUUGCCGCUAGCACUCAAAACAGUAGGUAAUGCCAUGGCGAGCAAAGUGUACCCUGAAGAAUGGAAAGAAGCAAUUGAGAUCCUAAGCGCAUCAGCUUCUAAAUUCGAAGAUAUGGAGAAAAAGGUGCUUUCGAGCUUAAAGUUCAGCUAUGAUAGUUUGCCGAAAGAUGAACUUCGAUCUUGUCUCCUGUACUGUUGCUUAUUUCCCGAAGACUCUGAAAUUCUAAAAACCGAGUUGAUAGAGUAUUGGAAAAGUGAAGGAUUUGUGCAUUCUAGCAGCGGGUGGGGGGUUCUUGGUGCUCUCGUUCGUGCAUGCUUAUUGGAGGAAGCAGGUGAUCGUGUAAAAAUGCACGAUAUGAUCCGUGACAUGGCAUUAUGGAUAGCAAAUGAAGUAGAGGAGGAGGAGGAGAACUUUUUGGUUCGUGCAGGAGUUGGAUUAACUGACGCCCCAAAGAUUGAAGAAUGGGAAGGGGUCAAAAGGAUAUCCUUGAUGCAGAACAAAAUUCAAAGUCUACCACAAAUUCCCUCUUGUCCGCGUCUGCAAACAUUGCUUCUGGCGAGUAAUCGUAUUAAGGAGAUCACUGAGAGUUUCUUUCAAUCUUUGCCUUCACUUAGAGUUUUGAGUCUAAGAAGAAAUCGUUCCCUGACUGAACUUCCUGUGGGGAUUUCAAGUCUGGUUUCAUUACACCAUCUUGAUAUGUCUUCUACUAAAGUACGUGGAUUGCCGCAAGAGCUCAAGGCAUUGGUGAAUCUGAGAUAUUUGAACUUGGAGUAUACACGUGGAAUGUCUAGAAUUCCACAGCAAUUAAUAUCAAGCUUUUCAAAGUUACAGGUACUCAGGAUGCUGCGUUGCGGUCGACGUUACCAGCCAAUAGUGGAAGAAGGCAACGUUCUAUCUGCUGAUGCUGAAUCAUUGAUGAAGGAAAUCCACUGUUUGGAACAAUUAAAUCUCAUCACCUUGUCCUUACAUGGUUCGCGUGGUGUUGAAAACUUUCUGAAAUUCCCAAAGCUGCAGAAUAUCACUCAAGCUCUGUCCAUCGAAGACUGCAACAGUCUACCGCUCAAUUUGUUACAUCUAGCAAACAUGGAGCAUCUUGAGGAGUUAUAUAUCGAGGAUAGUAAUUUGGAAGACUGGAAUGUCGACUGCGCGGGAGAGGUACAAAAAAUGCGUAAACUUCACUCGGUUCUCAUACGGAAUUGCUCAAAUGUGAAGGACUUGACGUGGCUUGUUUUUGUUCCAAAUCUCAAGUGGCUGCGAAUAGUUGGUUGUGAUGACAUGGAAGAAAUAAUCAGUGUUGAAAAAUUUGAAAAAUUGAGUGAAGUUUCAGAGAUGAUGGGAGAGCUUAACUUGUUCUCAGAACUCGAACUUCUGGUAAUAAGAAAUGCAAGUAAUUUGGAGCGCAUCUACCGCGAUCCCUUGCCCUUUCCACAGCUGAACCGAAUUAGCAUAUUGAAAUGCCCAAAGUUGAAGAAGCUCCCACUCAAUUCCAGCAGCGCAAAGGGACGUAAAAUUGCCCUUGCGGGACAGAAAGAAUGGUGGGAAGAGCUACAAUGGGAGGAUCAAGCCACUCAAAAUGCUUUCUCUCCCUGUUUCCGACCUAUUGAAGAAUAAAGUGCGAUAAGGCACAAAAGUGUGAAUAAAAUUUCUGCGCGUGCUUAAUGAUUAUCUUGUCUAUCUAUUUCAUUUAAUUUAAAAGUUUUCUACGGAGUUGCAUGUGUGUCACUUGUCAUUCUUCUGUACUGCUGUUUCCUAUUUCCAGUUAAUAAAAUUUUUUUGUUCUUAGAGUUAGAAAUGCUUUACUUGUAAGGGAGAUUCACAAUUUUCCCAUAUUAUGAUUAAUAUAUUCUUUUUACUUUCCUACUAUUUUGCAUAAUUUUUUAAUAUUAUUUUUAUUUCUAAAUAUAUUUUUAUUCAUAUUUAUUAUAAAUUAAAUAAAUGUAUGAAUAGAAAUAAAAAUAAAAAUAAAAAUUAAGUAUUAAAACAAGAAAUAUAUAUUAUGAUUUGAAUAAAAAAUAAAUAUUUUUUUGUACUUAGAAUGCCAUUUGUCGUGAGCACCUGAAUCCCCAAAGGACUCCCAGCUUCAAGUGGCUUUGACUUAGCUUGCUUUAGCUCCAUUGCACAUACUCACUCACAUGGAGGAAAUGAACAGAACAAGAAACCUCAUCAUGCCGAAUAUGAUAGAUAUGACAAGGCAUUACAUUGUAGGAAGCUCCCGAUUUCUCUAAAAAACUCUGCAGGUUCUCCGCAAUCAAGGCGUGCUCCAUCUUUAACAGAUCACUUCUACCAUUAAGAGAAGGAAGAGAGUUCCUCUCGUGUGACAGUAAAUCCUUACUUAACACAGGAUUGGAGCCAACCAAGAAGGGAAGGCAAUUUCGUUAGAUUAAGAAUCGAAUCACCAUCCAAUAUAGUAGCAUUUGAACCAGAACUCUUGUUAAAUUCUUGAAAUCUCCUGCUUUCAUCAGUCUGUAAGAGAAAUGAAGAUGAGAAUAAUAGCCAGAACCGGAUUAAAUUCAAUCUGGUCUUUUGAAGACUUCUAUAACAACUAAGAGAACCCAGUGUACCGCCUACAGAUACUGUCAGGCUUCUAUCAAAUAUCCCAAACACCAAAAACCAACCAAAUUAAGCUAACAAACCUGCAUGAAUAUCUAAAUUUCAAUGCAUAUGAAACAAACUCCAUGUUCAAUCCACCAAAACUAGCAAAUUUCAAACUUUAUCACUCAUCAUUCUCUCUCUGUCAGCUGUACGAGGCUAUGAGAUCAUGUUAUAAUGUUCAUAUUGAUGCUGAAUGUUUUGCCAGCUUGUCUGAAUUCCAUAAGAGAAUGCAAUGUGCACAUUAUUGUGCCUUGCCCACCAGUAGAUUCUAAACCACAAAAUCAUUCUGUGAAGUAGCUGACGUUUCGCACAUUCUUAUCCCUUACCAUCAAUAUUCUUCUCCUCAAGCUUAGAUCAUGGAAAUUUGAGUGAUAACACGAUCUAAACUUUAGGGGCAUAAAGUAACAUAGAAGCAACAUGGGAUGUUUUAAAAUCUAUUAUAAUUUGCUUAGGCCCCUGAAUAAAAUUAAAACUUGAAAUGAAAUAAAGUAGCAAAAUAAAGAUUGGAGGUCGCAUGCUUGAUAUUUGAUGCUGUCAAAAUUAAUUUGCAGUGCUGAAAUUGCUGCUCCAAUAAAUUUUUCAAUGGGAUUUCCAUAUUUACAACAAAUUUUCAGUAUUGAAACAGGAUUAAAAUCAUAAAGUGUCUUUUAAACAGCAGAGGCAACAAGAUCCUACAGAAAAAGAAGGCAAAAAGUAGUUACAAGCUACAGAAACGCAAAUAUUCUACUGGCCAACUCCCACUAAAUUCGAAGCGAUUCUAAAAUCUCAGCUUGUACUACUACAUCAUUCCUUCUAUGUAGCCCAACUGUACUUCACCCAGAAAUCACAUUUCUUCAUCAGAGAUAAUUUUACAUCAUUCCUUAUCAUUAGGCAUAAGGCUCCCAAUGUUCUUGGAGGAAUUAUGAUGAAUAUGAGGGUUUCAAAAAAGAAAAAAAAAUAUUAUGACAACCUCUAGGCGGAGGAAAUCAGUUUUCUAGGAAUUCGUUAGAUUGGUGAAGUUAUAGAACCUUAGCAAUUUGCUGUAGUUUGGAAUGUUUUUGCCUUUCAUUAUAGCAUUUGCAAAGGCUCAAGGAUAUAGAAGAACCUUGGCUACAAAUUCAGGGAAGAUUUCACUUAUAAUGAGAAAUAAUCACCAUUAUUCUAUACAAUGAGAAAACAGUUAUGGAAGAAAUAGAAAGAAUUACCCGAAACGAAGGAUUUGGAAGACAAUGAGACAAAAGUAUAAAGAAGAAGAAAUUGGAGAUAUAAUGGCUGCCAAUUUCUUUGAUGAACCCAUCAAAAACGGCUUGAAAAUUAAAGAAAUUGUCAAAUGCUGUAACGGAGGAAUUGAAACUGUAAAAGAUGCAAGUUAAUUCAUGGGGCUGGCCAUCUUGAUUGAUUGAACACCUACACGUGACAAGUGUGCGAUAAUCGUUAUAUCUUCAAUUUUAGGCAGUUUUUCAUUUCUUUUAUUUUAAUAGUAAAAAAAUACGCCAUUUUAGAUACAAAUGCCCCUGACUAGCCCUUUUGUAAGUUACAUUGUUUGGUGCGAUAGUCCCGCACGUGCUUGACAUUUGCCGAAUAUCUUAUGCGCAUUUUUUUUCCCCUCUAACUCAUUGUGUAUGCUCAUCUUUAUGUGCGUUAUUACCUAAACUUAUAUACCAAUCAAAAUAAAUCAUAAAGUAUCAAACGCUUUUAAAUGAUUUUUAAUAUUAAAGAACUCACUUUAAUGAUGUUUAAUUGGUAGUAGCCCUUUAUAGUCUUUAAACCUUUAGCAGUGCAAAGUCACAAGCUUUGUCCAGAAUCUAAUGGCGUAGAUUAUAGGCGAUGGGUGCCAUCACCUGGGCAACGACGUACAUCGCUUGGGCGACAAGCCAAUUUACUAGGCUCAUCGCAAACAGCCUUCGUCGCCUGGGCGAUGGCCAAAUCCAUCCAAUAAACUUUCAGCUCAUGUUUGAUAGCCUAAAAAAAGUAGUUAUGGUGACCAUCACACAUCACAUUUUACUGACAAGGUGUCUUAAUUUUCAUAGAAAAUUGUUCCUACUGAUUUUCCAAUCCUGGCCUAAUACUUGCAGAUUAUUAAACGAUUAUGGAAUGGCAGCAAACCGGCGCCGCGGAGGGGGGCCGGCCCGGGGUUGUUGUGCUGAUUUGGGAGGGGUAAUAAACCCUCUGAGGCAAUUUAGCAAACAUAUUAUGUGCCAUGAUUUUAGACCAGUAAUUUUGUCAAUAAUAGCUAAUUCGCAAUCCCAUUACAAAUCUAAUAAUCUAUUGCAUACACGCUCUUGAUGACUUGGAUUCUCAAAAAAUAAUCAUUUUACGCCGCUGAGGCGCAGAAAAAUCAAUUGUGUUGUCCCUUUAUACUUUUUCAUUUGUUUUGCCCACGUCCAAAUAAAACAGAUUCUGGUAAAUGUGAUAAGGAAAUGUUUGUUUCAAUUUCCAACCCAUAUCUCAUAAAGAAUUUCUCACUCAAAUAAAUAAAUAUUAUCCGGUAAUGGUAUGACAUUUAUUUUGAAGUAAACACCGGCACGCCAUUUUCUCAUUUUUUUCAUUUUUUGAGGACACCAUUUUCUCAAUUGAAGAAUAUAUUUUGGCCAAAAUUCACAAUGUUCUCCACAUGAUUUAAAGCACACAGAAUUCACACUUGUCUCCACAUGAUUUAAAAGCACAAGGAAUUCUCUUGACCUUAAUUACGAAUCUUUUUAUGUUUAUUGAAAUCCAAUAUUGUUGACUCAUUGGUGUAGCCAGAAAAUCAUAUUAAUAUAGUAGAAUUUAUAAAUAACCAAAGAAAAAAGUUCACGCUCUUACUUUAUUACUUUUAUAAUUUUAUUAGUACAUCUACUAACAUGUCUUCAUAAAAUAUAGUUUUAAGAGGAUAUUUUUAUGGUUGUAGAUAUUUUUAUUUUUCUUCUUAAUAAUAGAUUUAAUUUUCAUCUUUCUAAUGUUAAGUUGCACAUUUGGACUAAAUCAGAUUAAAUUUCAAAUUAGAUGACAGGCCUUAUUUUAAUAGAUUCAAUUGGAUUUUGGACAUCUAAUUAAACAACUGGAUUAAUAAAUUGCAAAUGAAUGAGAUUUAUAUGUGAUUUUAAAAUAAAAUUUGAACUUAAAUCUAUGUAUUCAAUUAAUCCAACAAGACAAAUUUAUAAUUUCUACCACCUAAAUAAAAUAUGUUAUCAGAAACUUUUGGACCAAGUAGGGGCAGUUCAUCACUUCGUCGGCCUGCUACUACUUAUACUCCUUUCUCAUUCAACUUUCACAUCUUUUAUAUUAUAUACAAACUAGAUUUGUCAUGCAAGUAUUUGACAGAAGAAAUCUCAUUGGAAAUCGGACAACUUCAAGAAAUUCAUUUAUUGAAUUUGUCACAUAAUUGCUUGUCGGUUUAUAAACCAAAAAGGUAUUCCAAAUUAAAAGUGGUAGAGAGCCUAGACUUUUCUUACAACAGAUUAAGUGGUAGAAUUCCUCCUUAAUAGACUGAGCUCAAUUUUUUGAUCUGUCUUCAAGACGUCAUACAACAACUUGUCCAACCUGAUACCAAACAAAGAGCAGUUUGCCACAUUCAAUGAAGGCAGUUAUGGAGGAAAUCUGCAUCUUUGUGGUCCAACAGUUAAUAAGAGUUGCAACAAUGCGGAGGAAAUACCAGCAAUAGAAUCCAAUCGAGGAGAAGAUGAAGAUGAAUGUGCAAUUGAUAUGGUGUCAUUCAGUUGGAGUUUCGGUUCAUCAUAUGUCACAUUCAUCAUGGGGUUUUUCGCGAUACUUUGGAUAAACUCAUACUGGCGCAGAAUGUGGAUCUAUUACAAUCAUGUAUUCACUAGGCCAUACGCGUGAUGUGCUUUUCUGCUAAAACUAGUUCACAAAUGUGAUUUCAUUAAAAUUAGUCUAUACACAUCUUUCCCUUGGCUUUUGUUGGCUCCAACUCCGGACUUUUAUUCAUAUCAUUACUUUAUGUAGUUUCCCCAAAAGGCUUGUGAUGAUUAAUGCAGUUUAUAAAUUAUUACUACUACAAUAAUGAUAUAAUAAAUAAUUUUUUUUAAGUUGUAAAAGUGAGAAAUACUAAAGAGAUCUUUAUUACAUCAUUAAUGUUCGAUCAAGAAUUUCCUCAUCCGAGCUUGCAGUCUGUGGAGGAGACUGUAUCAAUGUCGAAAUUCUCCGGACCGGCACUAUUUGCUGUUUCUCCAUUGAAUAGUGCGUCUUACUACAACAAGGUGAAACACAGCCCAGUGUUCUGAUUGGGCCCAAUGCGAAAAACAUAAAACCCAAAUUUUUGUUGACUUUGGGCCUGCUCAAAUACCAUGCCCAAUUGUGUCUAGUUGUAACAAAAGCGGCGAGAUGUUCAUGCCCAAACCCGCAAGAUUGUUUUAAUAUUUAAAAUUUAACAUGAUUCUAGAAUUUUUGUUAAUAAAAAAUAAACCACCAAGAUUCUAGUGAAUAACAAAUGUAUACAUAUACACGUGCUGUGUAGACCGGGCCAAUUCUUGUGGAAUUCUCCAACAACCAUCCUGAUUCUUGAAUUGCCGCGAAAAUUCCGCAAGCGAUGAACCCUCUCUUACGCACCACUCAUUCUCUAUCACAAUGAUCAAAAUAAAGACGAGGACGGAGACUAUUAAUCACUGAGAGUGAUUUUCUCAAUAUUUGUCAAUCACUACUAAGAUUCAUUGUCAAUCAAUAAUAUCAAUUGACACAAAGAUUGAUUGUCUUUUUUUUUUUUUCGAGAAUAUCAGUGCUUGAAUACAUUAUUUGAUAUAUAUAAUUCAAUGUAAACUCAAUCAUACUCUUAAAUUAUUUUUAUAAAUUCUCAAUAUCAGUCUUUGAUUUUAAUUCGAGUUUUGAUUCAAAUUAAUGCAAGGAUACAAAAGGACUCAAGAGCUUCAUAUAUCAAUUCUAUGUUAUUAACUUAUUAUUUCGGUGUACACCACAAAUUUAUGAGUAAUUUAUUAAAAUGUCUAAACAUAUAUGAAAAAUAGUUGAUUAUUGAUUUUCACAAAUUUCAAUAUAUCAAACAUCCUAUCGAGUUAUUAAUUCCAAAGCACAUUAUUUAAGAAUCAAUGCUAGAAUAAAUUAUUUGAUAAUUUCAAACCCAAAUUUACGCUUAAAUUCUUUAAAUUAUCUCAAUCAACUUUUUUUUUUCUUAGCUGACCAUCUAUAUCAGCUAUUGGAAAAAAAAAUAGAAUUGACGACUACUUGUAUGUUGGCCUAAUUUGAAAGUCAAUCAACAUUUAUUUUCCAUGUAAUGUUAAUGAAGCAUUUCCCUCAUUGGUCCAACAUUGCAACAUGUGGAAUUUCAGGCUUACAAUUCCUCAUUAGUCAUUACAGAUACCGAAAUUGAUUGUCAGACAAUAUUGUCAUUUCAAUAUAUGCCACAAUUUUAUGAGUAAUUUACUAAAAUCUUUAAAUAUAUAAAAUUUGCAUGUGUGUAAUAAACCUGUAUUUAUAUAUAAAAUUUGCAUAUUUAAAUUGCACCUCUCCAUGCAUCAUAUAAAAUGUCAUUUCAAUGUGAUCCACACUUUUAUGAGUUAAUAACUAAAUAUUGUCACUAAAUUUUUCCUAAUUGUUGCAUGCAUUAGAUUUUUUUACGAAAAAAAAAACAUGCUACAUUAAGUGUAAAACAAUUGAGGAAAAGAUUAGAGAACACAAUGAGAAAAGAAAUUUUUUAUACAACCUUUUCAUCAAUAAAAAUCAUAUUCAUACUAAUCAAUUCUUCAUUCCUCUUGGUAUUAACAGACUCUCACAUCCUACAAAAUCUAACCCUUAUCAUCCAACUAUCUUUAUCAUUAUUUAACUCAUGAAGAAAAGAGUACUCCAUGAAGCACACAAUACUAAAAAUUCAAAUAAGUCAAAAAUAAAAAUGCAAGAAUAUUUCUAAGGAGGAUGUUGGUUAAAUAAUAAAAAACCCAAACAUAACAAAUCUUAAAUACUUAAUGUUUAUAGACUUUGAAGAAGUCAAAAGACAUUAAACAAAAUGUUGCAUAAUUAAAUAUGGAAUUAUGACAUUAAAAUUAGGCCCUAAUGGCAUUGGUGAGUGAAGAUGAAGGAACCUUCCUUCCUAUAUUAAUUAGUUGAUGUAUUUUAAGUCACUAAAGUUUAGUUGUUGGCUUAAUAAAAUAAAUGAAUGUUUCAAGACUUAUAAUUAAUUAUUAUUAAUGGUUGCAUAUUAUUGAAUUUAAAUAGAAAGAGGAAGAGACAUGUAAUUUUUUGUAAUCUAAUAAUUAUUUUCUAUUUUGUAAUGUAAUUAUUUUUUAAUCUCAACCAAUAUAUUAGAUAAUAGAGAAUAUAAAAAGAUAAGAAAUAAUGAUGUCACAAAUCUUAAAUACUUAAUGUUUACAGAGUUUGAAGAAGCGAAAAUGCACUAAACAUAAGGUUGCAUAAUUAAAUAUAGGAUUAUGGUAUUAAAAUUAGGCUCUAAUGGCAUUGUUGAGGGAAGAUGAAAGAAACUUUCUUCCUAUAUUAAUUAAUUGAUGUAUUUUAAGCCACUAAAGUUUAAUUGUUGGCAUAAUAAAAUAAAUGAAUGUUUUAAGACUUAUAAUUAAUUAUUAUUAAUGGUUACAUAUUAUUGAAUUUAAAUAGAAAGAGGAAGAGACAUGUAAUCUUUUGUAAUCUAAUAUUUAUUUUCUAUUUUUAAUAUUUUGUAAUGUAAUUAUUUUUUAAUCUCAACCAAUAUAUUAGAUAAUAGAGAAUAUAAGAAUAUGAGAAAUAAUGAUGUCACAUCACCUCUUGUAGUCCCAACUCUCUCUCUCUCUCUCUCUCUCUCUCUCUCUCUCUCUCUCUAUAUAUAUAUAUAUAUAUAUAUAUAUAUAUAUAUACAUACAUAUUAUUUUCUAAAAAGUAUUUCUAAUUGUUUAACGUUUUAUUUAUGAGUAUUUUUAAGAGUUUAAAAAAUAUGGGAAACAGAAUCAAUUUUAUCAAAUAAAAAGAAUAUUGGUCAUUUUCUUCAUAAAGAAAGUGUUAAAAUACUUUUGGUAUUUAAGAAGUAACAAUUUUUUUUUUUGUUUCAUAAAAAAAGCAUUCAAAAUUAUAUUAAAUAAAAUUAAAGAUUAACAAAACUGACGUCUGAAUUUCGUGUAAAUUAUAAUAAGUUUAUCUCCAGCAUGAAUGACAUUAUAGCGUGGCUAGCAUCAUCAAAAUUCUGGUAACAUUCCAAGGUUGUCAAACUAAUCAUCUCAAAAUGUCAUUAUACUUGUAGCGUGCGGGCAUCAUCUUUACUUUCAGCAUCAAAAUUCUUUUAUUUAAUACACUUUUAUUUUAUACAAUUUUUAUCAUAUUAAAAUCCUUUGUAAUUUAAGCUCUCUCGGACUUUUAAAAAUGUUAUGCCACCCCUUCUUUAGCAGUAAUAGUAUAUGAUUAUGAUUUAAUUAUUUUAUUUUUUAAUUUAUCAAACACCAAUCACUUAAAUUUAACCUAAGAAAAAAUUAGAACAUCAGAUAAUUUUAAUUGAUUCUUAUUAAGUACUAGAAUUAACUGCUCCCAAUGAUAAUUUAUUAAGCAAACCAUAGUGAUCAUCUUACACUAAAGAACCAACCCAUCUUCAAAACACAAGAAUUUAGUACAAAUAAUUAUCCCAAUAAAGUUUAACGAAAAAGGAAAGAGAUAUUUUUAUUAUUUCUUUUCCUUUCUUUCAUUUCAAUUUCUUGCCUCCUGAGCUCUUCUAAAAGCCAACCAAACCACUUAUUUAAAAAAAAAAAAAAGGAACCAGACAAAGCGCAAGAAAAAAAAUUAAAAAAUUCGCAGUCUACACACAUCCCAGCACCGUAUGCGUCCAAUAAUUCAUCUCCAAUAAUUGCCCCUAUAUGACCACCGGUUUGUACUUGCAUAUAUGUGAAACAGGAUAAAAUCACAAUGUGUCAUUUAAUUAGCAGAGGUAACAAGAUCCUACAGAAAAGGGUUUACAGGAAAAGAAAGGAAAAAAAAUUGUUACAACAUACAGAAACCCAAAUAUUCUACUGGCUAACCCCCAUUAAAAUUCGAAACCAUUCUUAAAUCUCAGCUUAUACUACUUCAUCAUUCCUUCUGUGUACCCCCAACUGAAUUUCUGGCAGAAAUCACAUUUCUUCGUUAGCCUCAACUCAUGCAUCUUUUACUUUUAAUCAAACAUACUUUUUUAUCUGCUGGGCUUUUUAACAAAGAAUAAUUUUCCUUAGAUCUUUUCUAAUAGACAAGAAAGCACAAAGCACAAAUAUCUAGGAAUGUUUUUGCCCUUCAUCAUAGCACUUGCAAAGGCUCCAGGGUAUAGAAGAACCUUGGCUACAAAUUCCUGGGAAGACUUCACUUAUAAUCAACUGGAAGGAUGUCACCUCUACGGGCGUUGUACAUUUUCCACUUCUACGUGGUAUCCUGCAGAAACAAACAAUAAAACACGUGUUAUACAAGUAUUUUUUAAGUAUGAAAUACAUCAAAAGCAUUUAUGAUGCCAUUAAGUUUAGUCAAUACAAUCUCUCAAGGCAGGACAAGAGAUUUGAGAUUCAAACUCCACCUACGUAGGAAAGGAAUGUCAAAAAGAAAUGCGGUUGGGAUAGGUUAUUACGUUUUAUUCUUUUUAUUACUAGAAUUGAAUAAUGCUGCCUUUGACAGUAAAAUAAACGUCAAGUGAUAAUUGAAUUAUAAAAAAGUGAGGUAAAUGGUGAGAAAUAAUCACCAUUAUAAUUUAUAAUAUAAAAUGAGGAAAUAAUUAUGGAAGAAAUGGAAAGAAUUACCUGAAAAGAGGGAUUUGGAAGACAAUGAGACAAAAAUAUAAGGAAGAAGAAAUCGAAGAUAUAAUGCCUGCCCAUUUCUUUGACGAACCUGUAAAAUGUCGUGAUUGAGGGAAUUAAACCGUAUGACGUUUAUGAAAUACUAACUAGGCAACCCAAGAGGGGGGUGAAUUGGGAUUUUAAAAAUUAUCCUAGGCAAACCACACAACAAUUUAAUCUAAUGCCUUAAUAAAUUCGAAAACAAUAAAUUCAAUAAAAGCACAAUAAUAAAUGAGUAAGGGAAGAGAAAGCAAACCCAAGGAUUUUUACGUGGUUCGGCAAUCCCCGCCUACGUCCACGCCUCCAAGCACACCGGGCUUGAGGAUUUUACUAAGCUAGCCUCCCAAGGCUUCAAACGCUUACAAUUGACUUCCAAGGUGUCAAUGGACCUUUACAACAAGAGAUUAUCCCCAAUCUCUUAACCCAAGUGUAUCCCAACACUUACAAUCUUUUAACUUGAUUUUACAAAAAAGAUUACAAAUGAAUCUCUCUCACACAAUGUGUUUGAUCACAAGUGAAAGCUCAAUGUGUGAAUGAAUGAGAUGAAUACAAAGAUUUAAAGCUCAAUGAAAGUUGUAUUCUCAAUAUUUUGCUCAAUGAUGAUCGUUGGAAUUCUUCUUGUUUGAAUUGGAUUGAGAUUAUUUAUAGUUGGAGCUGAAAAACUAGCCGUUAUAGACUGUCUGCUAGAAAACGGUUCGCCGUUAACCAUUAACGGUUAACCGUUUAGGCCGGUCAAAGUUACCGUUGGGCCAAUUUUCAAAUAAACGGUUAGCCGUUUAUUCUUACCCUUUCGCCGUUAAUUUCCAGAGACCUGCAAAACAAAUUUGGUUUAACCGUUCUUAUUAAACGGUUCAAGGUUAACAAUCUGGAAAUAAUCGGUUAACCGUUUUCAGUAAACGGUUCACCGUUAGUUUCCAGAAUCAUCAUUUUAAUAAUACUUUACAGAACAUGCUUUCUGGAAAUUAUCGGUUAGCCGUUUUAAAUAAACGGUUAGCCGUUUGCUACAGUGAUUGCUACAGUGAAAAUAUUUUCUAAAUUUAUAAUUUAACCCCAAAACUUUAUAAAACUUUAUUACGGCCCAAAACGUUAUGAAACUUUGCACAUAGGUCCAAUUUCAGAAUUUCUAAAUAAUACUUUGUUAAUCCCAAAACUUUUUGAAAUUAUGGUAUAGCCCAAAAUGUUAUGAUACUUUUCAAAUAAGUCCUUUACCAAGAUUUCAAGCAAUACUUGUUUAUUUCAAAGUUUUCAAAAUUCUUUCAAUUAAACCAUAAACUUUGAAAAACAACCAAUUUCAUAAAAUCAUUUUUCCAUUAAAUAUGAAACAUUUAUAAUGUGAAAAUAAUGAUUUAUUUAAAAAGAAUAAAAACAAUCAAUUUCAUAAAAUUAUUUUUCCAUUAAAUAUAAAACAUUUAUAAUGUGAAAAUAAUGAUUUAUUUAAAAAGAAUAUUAAAUAAUUUGAGCUUAAAAGAUUAAUCAUUCUUAAUCUUAUUUGUUAUCAUCAAAAUCAAUAUUAUGAAAAUAUAUAUGUUAACAGUUUACUUUGGCGGCCCCCAGUCUUGUCAAUCAGAGAAUAUGUUUUGGCCGAAAUUCACAAUUCUUACCACGUGAUUUAAUUAAAGCACACAGAAUUCGUAAUUUUCUCCAGACAAUUUAAAUUAAACCCGCACUCUUUAUGGACUCCACUUUUAAGAAGGAUAUUGCCCACCGAGCAAACUAACCAAAACUCUUUUCCCUUCUGCGUUCAUUCUCCAACUCGUUGUCACUUUGUUUUGCUCUUCCUCUCUAUAUGAUUUUUAAGAACUAUUAAAUGUUUGUUUGUUUCUUAAAAAAAAUGUUUGUUUUUUUUUGUAUUAGAUGAUUAUAAAUAUUUAUUUAAUUUUAUAUUUUUUUAAAUUUUUUAUUAUUGUUUCAUUAUUUUUUAGUAAAUUUUUAAAAAUUAAAUAAAUUAUUUUUAUUUCUGUUAAUAAAAAUUUAAACUUUAAAUUUUUGAGGGAUGAGAUUUAUUUUUUUUAAAUAUUAAAAUACUUAAAAUAUCUUUUAUUUAUGUAAUAAUUUUAUUUUAUUUUUUUGUUAAAUAAUUUUAAAAAAAAUUAUUUAUUAAAAUAAUUUUAUAAUUUUUAAUAAAAACUCUUAUUAUCAAUUAAAUAACUAAAAUUAUUUUCAUAAAAACUUUUAUAAUAAAAAUCCUACCACACCGCAGAGUCUGCACUUACCUGCGCGUACUGUUUAAAACCCCUCACCGGCUCUGCUCUCGCCACCAAUAUUAAGAAAGAUACUUUGUUGUGGUGGCAUUUUGGUAAAAAAUAUGGGCCCCCAAAAUAAUCAUAAUAAUUAAGGAUUUAGCUAUGUGGCAACGGGUACACCAUACACUUUUUUUUUUUUUUUUUUUGUGCUGCCACAGUUAGAUCCAACACAAAAGUAGUAUUAAGAGCAAGAUGUGUUUGUUUGUUUAUUAACAAUGCAAUCCCUAAUAUUUGUCAAAAAUUUUAAAAAGUUAAAGUUUAUAAAAUUUUGUGCCAAUAUUUUUUUCCCAAAUUCUCUUAGCACAAUUAAUUGUGUUAUGGUAUCCACUUUUGCAGGUUAUAAUCAAGAGAUCAGACAUGAUAGAUACAUAAAAAAUAAUAUAAAAUAAAAAAAUUUUGAAUUUUUGUUAAAGCUCUCAUUUCUAAUAAUUUGUUAAAAUAUUCUUUUACCUAAGAAAACAAACUCAUUGACAUAAUAAAAAGAGUUUUACUGAUAAAAUAAUAAUUAUUCAAUUAUUAGAAGUGCUACAGUUAGAUUUUUUUAAGUUGAAAAUGUAGAGAAGCAUGGAGGAGAAGAGGAGAAGAAGACACAUAAUAAAACAUAAAAAUUUUCAAUUUAUUUAUACCUGAAUUCCAUUGUAUGAUGAAUAGAUUGUAGGUACAAAAAUAUAUUUAUGUGAUUUUCUUUUAUAUAAAAAGUUCAAUUCAUUAUUGCUUAUAUGAUAUAGAGCAAAUUAAUCUUAAGGUAAUGAGAAAGUAGCUUCAAUGAGAAUGCCAAGCUUCUCUUAUUGAUUGUAAUUGAUUGAUUACAUAUUUAAUUAAAAAAAUUCAAAAGGACGUAGAGGUGAGGGUUUUGAAGAAAGAGAAAAAAGAAAUUACUUCAAUAAUUUGUAAAUACAGAAGAGAUUAGGGGGUCAAAAAAUACAAAAAGUAGGGUAUGGUGGACCCAUUGUACCGUAGCUCAACUCAAGCCAAUAAAUUAAUUGUUUUAUCCUAUAAAUAAAAAUUAAUGUUGUGUAUUUGCCUAUAACUUGAGGAGGUAAUAAAAGUCUUUCGUUAUACUCUACUGUUAGUUUCUCGCCUUUUAUUCCUCUGAAAUCUUUCAACAAAAAUGGGUGGCGUCAUCUCAACCUUCUUAUCAGCGGACACAAUUCGUCCAAUUUUAUCUUACGUUGGUGGAGAAGCUAAGUAUAUAUGGGGUCUAAAAGAUAAUCUUGAUGACUUGCAGACUCAGAAGGAGAAGUUGAUUGAGAAAAAAGAAGAUAUGCUGAAUGAGGUUGAGCUUGCUGAACAACGACCCCGAACCAGACGGACGAGAUCGGUGCAACGCUGGUUUGAAAGAGUGGAUCGAAGGGUAACUGAAGUUGAGAGGCUGCAACAAGAAAGAGAUCAAGAGAUUGACAGAUUGUGCCUUGGAGGCUUCUGUUCCAAGAACUUGAUCUCAAGCUACAGCUUCGGGAAAAGAGUGGAGAAGAUGAAGAACGAAGUGAUCGAAUUGAAGAAAGGAGGAGAAGCAAUCAAUCCACUUUAUGAGGAGGUACCAGAAGGUGCAGCGGUUGCAAUAGCUGUUGACCGAACAAUUGUCGGUCAAGAAUCAAUACUAGACCGAGUUUGGAGAUGCAUCACCGAUCAAGAACAGAAUAAGGGAAUUAUUGGCUUAUAUGGUAUGGGGGGCGUCGGCAAAACUACUCUGUUAAAGCAAGUCAAUAACAAAUUCUGCAGUGAUGAACAGCAUCAUUUUGGUGUCGUUAUCUGGUCGGUUGUGUCGAGAGAGCCAAACUUGAAGCAGAUUCAAGUGGAUAUUGGAAAAAGGAUAGGCUUCUCAACAGAUUCAUGGCAGAGAAAAAGUUUUGAAGAAAGGGCUUCAGACAUCACCAACGCUUUAAAGCAUAAGAAGUUUGUAUUGUUAUUGGAUGAUAUAUGGGAGUCCAAAAUUGAUUUAACCGAAUUGGGCGUCCCUCUUCAAAGAUUAGAUUCUGGGUCCAGAAUAGUUUUCACAACUCGUUUUCGUGGUACUUGUGGUGAAAUGGGAGCUGACGAGCGGUUCGAAGUGUCCUGUUUGGGAGAUGACGAUGCCUGGAAAUUUUUUGAGGGGGUGGUUGGGAGAUACGUUCUCGACAAGCAUCCCGACAUUCCGGAGCUAGCCAAAGCUAUGGCAAGGCAGUGUCAUGGUUUGCCGCUAGCACUCAAAACAGUAGGUAAUGCCAUGGCGAGCAAAGAGUACCCUCAAGAAUGGAGUCACGCCAUUGAGAUCAUAAGCAGAUCAGCUUCUAAAUUCAAAGAUAUGGAAAAACAGGUGCUUUCGCGUUUGAAGUUCAGCUAUGAUAGUUUGCCCACUGACGAACUUCGUUCUUGUCUCUUGUACUGUUGUUUAUUUCCGGAAGACUCUGAAAUUCCAAAAACCGACUUGAUGGAGUAUUGGAAAAGUGAAGGAUUUGUGGAUUCUAGCAGCGGGUGGGGGGUUCUUGGUGCUCUCCUUCGUGCAUGCUUAUUGGAGGAAGCAGGCUUAGUGGACGAAGGAGGUAAUCGUGUAAAAAUGCACGAUAUGAUUCGUGACAUGGCAUUAUGGAUAGCAAAUGAAAUAGAGGAGGAGGAGGAGAACUUCUUGAUUCGUGCAGGAGUUGGAUUAACUGACGCCCCAAAGAUUGAAGAAUGGGAAGGGGUCAAAAGGAUAUCCUUGAUGGAGAACAAAAUUCAAAGUCUACCACAAAUUCCCACUUGUCCGCGUCUCCAGACUUUGCUUCUAAAUCGAAAUCAUAUUGCGAAGAUCACUGACAGUUUCUUUCAAUCUUUGCCUUCGCUUAGAGUUUUGAAUCUAAGUGGAAAUCAUUACCUAACUGAACUACCUGUAGGAAUUUCAAGUUUGGUUUCAUUACACCAUCUUGAUCUGUCUUAUACUCCCCUAACUGAACUUCCUGUAGGGAUUUCAAGUUUGGUUUCAUUACACCAUCUUGAUCUGUCUUCUACUGAAGUACGUGGGUUGCCGCAAGAGCUCAAGGCAUUGGUGAAUCUGAGAUAUUUGAACUUGGAGUAUACACGUAAAAUGUCUAGAAUUCCAGAGCAAUUGAUAUCAAGCUUUCCAAAGUUACAGGUGCUCAGGAUGCUGAGUUGCGGUUCUGAGAUAUUUCCAAUAGUGGAAGAAGGCAACGUUCUAUCCGAUGGUGCUGAACCAUUGAUUAAGGAAAUCCACUGUUUGGAACAAUUAAAUCUCAUCACCUUGUCCUUACGUGGUACGCGUGGUGUUGAAAACUUUUUGAAAUUCCCAAAGCUGCAGAAUAUCACUCAAGCUCUGUCCAUCGAACACUGCAACAGUCUACCGCUCAAUUUGUUGCAUCUAUCAAACAUGGAGCAUCUUGAGAAGCUACACAUCGAGGAAAGUAAUUUGGAAGACUGGAAUGUCGACUGCGCAGGCGAGGUACAAAAAAUGCGUAAACUUCACUUUGUUACAAUAUACGAAUGCUCAAAUGUGAAGGACUUUACGUGGCUUGUUUUUGUUCCAAAUCUCAAGUGGCUACGAAUAUGUUAUUGUGAUGACAUGGAAGAAAUAAUCAGUGUUGAAAAAUUGAGUGAAGUUUCGGAGAUGAUGGGAGAGCUUAACUUGUUCUCAGAACUCGAACUUCUGGUAAUAAGAAAUGCAAGUAAUUUGGAGCGCAUCUACCGCGUUCCCUUGCCCUUUCCACAGCUGAAGGUAAUUGACAUAUCGGAAUGCCCAAAGUUGAAGAAGCUCCCGCUCAAUUCCAGCAGCGCAAAGGGACGUAAAAUUGUCAUUUACGGGGAGAAAGAAUGGUGGGAAGAGCUACAAUGGGAGGAUCAAGCCACUCAAAAUGCUUUCUCUCCCUGUUUCCUACCUGAUGAAUAAUAAAGUGCAAUAAGGCGCAAAAGUGUGAAUAAAAUUUCUGCGUGUGCUUAAUGUUAGGCACUAUUAUUCAGGCUUAAAUAAUAACAAUAAAAU
RNAcentral lists this long non-coding RNA (33926 nucleotides) under Citrus maxima (pomelo). RNAcentral describes it as "long non-coding RNA (CMAX_LNC000216)". The record is from RNAcentral. Lineage: Eukaryota; Viridiplantae; Streptophyta; Magnoliopsida; Sapindales; Rutaceae.